Molecule: small RNA, 3014 nt
Filed under: Pongo abelii (Sumatran orangutan)
Lineage: Eukaryota; Metazoa; Chordata; Mammalia; Primates; Hominidae
Description: retained intron
Source: RNAcentral
AUUGUUCCAAAGCAACAUUCCCCCCCAUGAACAACUCAGGGACCCCCUCGAUCCACAGCGUGAGGCCCACCAGCAGAGGAAGAGGAGUUUCCAGUCCUGACUCCCACCAGGUGCAGGGGAGCCGAGCUCCUCUUUGGGUGGAUUAAAACAGACUUGGACGGAGUCUGGAAAAACAAACUCUUUUAAAACAAGACAAAGAUUGAGUCUGGCCAACUGGCUAUUUUCAAUCCUUGCUGAAUGGAGUCAAGGCAGUUGGUAGUAACAGCUUGUGGCCAUCCGCAAUCGUCCUCCCCGCACGAGAGGGUGGAGCCUCCUCCAAGUGACCAGAGCCGGUGACUUCGGGAAUCAACCCUCCCAAAACAGUGCAUGGCCUAGUGAGUCUUUCCAGACUGCAGAGGGGCAUUUGAGUGUGGAACAUGAGUGCUGGGCGCCUGGAGGAAUCCAGGUGAGCCCCCCAUCCUGCGGAUCCUCACAGAUGGGAAGUACGAGGAGGACUCGCCAGGCCACACCCUCACGCACUCUUGAUCCUUUAAGGAUUCCCCAAAGCUCGCUGGAUGCGUAUCCCUUGCUCAGCAGUCCACAUCAUCCGUAUCUCUCAUACCACAGCCGCAGGCUGCCCAGCCAGGUACCUUGGUGCCCAGCUGUCUCCACACCCUACAGCCUACCUGGUACUGCUCCUGGAUUAUUUCUGGGUGUCAGCCCUGUCUUCCCAGGAAUAGCAGGGGUCCUGAAAACAGAGGCAGCCCCAGAGCCUCCACCUCUCCCAACACCACACAGGAUGCUCCAUAACACCCAACCUAGUUCCAAAGAGAUUGUGAGCGGCAGCCGGGUUCAGAGUAAUCACUGCAUAACCCAGAAACAUUCAUUAAGCACCUACUGUGUGCUGGGCUAUCCACUAGGCAUUAGGAGAUACAAGACAUAGGGUUGCUGCCCUCAUGGGCGUCUCACUCAGGUCAGGGAGCAGCCAAAUAAUUGCAAUCACAACAGUGCACUAUGAGUGCUGUGACCCGGGGCAGAUCCAGCCCCCACUGAGGCAGGGGCCACCAGGAACACUGUGCCAGAGAAUUCCGAGACCAGAGGCCUUAGGCCAAAUGGCAGCAUGGCAUGGUCUGGAUGGCAGGCUUCAGAGAGUGGUGGAAAGACUGAGGGGAGGGCAGAGUGAGAGGGAGGGAGAAUAGUGUCUCCCACAAAUACAGUCCACUUUCUCUGAACCUGAAGACUCGCUUAGAACCUCAUGAUCCAGGAAUCCAUCUGGAGAUGGUGGAAGUCAUGUUUUCCCUGAGAGUCCUUCCGCCUGUUGACUGAGCCACUGGGGGCUGGCUGGACUGCUCCCCCCAUGUAGCAAAGGAGAGGCGGCUGCUGCCCACUGAAAAGCAGGUGCGCUCAGCAUCCCUCCUUCACACCCUUAGGGCCUGGCGGCAGGAGGUGGAACGAGAUGCAGACUUCAGCCCCAAGUCUGGCUUACUUCAGGAUCCCACAGGGCUCUCUCACCUCAGGGCAGUGUGGGACCCCAGGACACACCUUGUUUGCAGGCCUCACCUAGAUCGUGGUAACAGCCAGAACUCAACAAUUUAUCCAAGUCAGCCUCCCUGCGGCCCGGAGUGGGGACUGAGACCAACAUGCACCCUCAUCUGCAGGCAGGCAGGGACACACCAAGUCCAGAGUGAGUGCUCAGUGCACAUCAGGCCUUAAGAAGGGGGGUGGAAAUGCAAAGCACCUAGCCAGCUGUGCCGCUCUGUGCAGCUCUGGGAGGAAGCUGGCAUGUGCUGAUGCACUUAGCGCCGUUGCACCCUCCUGGUGCUGCAGCUCAUUUGAAUAAAGCCCAGAUUAGCAUGUGGUGCAGAGGUCUGCAUAUUUCAACAAACUGCUGCCUUGUCAGAUGUCACCUCGAGGGACGGGCUGAUGGAGUCCCUGGCAAACCCAGGACUGGCCGUGGAGUGGGGACGCAGCCUGAACUGCCCCCAAGCCAGUGGCAUUGGCUUGCCCUGUGCAGCCUCCUCCCAUAGAGGGGGCAGAUAAUACGGGGGGAGGAUGCCCCCCAGGUCCACAGCUCUGCAGAGGGCCUGGACCCCACUCUGCCAGUGUGGCGGGCAUCGGAGCUGGGUGGGGCUCUGUGAAGUUAGGGUCAUGGAGAUGGUAUAUAAAGCAUGGGACCUGAAGGGAAGACCCCACCCCAGGGUGCACACCCCAGACACCAUGACACACCCCGGCUGACAGGUCUGGCCAACGGAGCACUUGGGAGCAGGUGUUCUCUGCAGCCCACCCUGCUGUCCUGCUGAGCACCCAGGUACCCAUGGCACUGGCACAUGACCAAGGACAGACAUCCAUGGUGUGGGUCGCCUGGAGCUCCCCAGGCCCCUAGGAGCUCCUUGGCUUAUCAGAGACCAACUCCAGCCCUGAAAGCCCUCAUUUUCUGGGGUCUUCUGGAGCCCCCCAAGGGGAUCACCCAUGCCUCUCCAGGUAGAGAAUGAGGCUUAAAUGGAGGGGAAUCCUGGAAGCCCGGACGCCCCGCCUGGAGGGAAGCUGCCUGCUAGGGCAGACACCUCGCCUGUCCGGAGCCUAACUGAAUGCCACAGGUCCCAGAGGUCCUCAGCCUGGAGCAGCCUCUACACUGAGCAGGCCUGGAGUCAGGGGGCUCUGCCCGAGCAGGGACACAGUCCCCCAGGAAGUUGAGAACACAGCAGGCCAGAGCGGGGAGGCCUCCAGUGAGGUCCAGCCAUCUCCACUGCAGCAAGGAUAAUAUCUCCUCUCCAGGCUGCAGUCAGCAGCGGGCCCGGGGUGUCCUGCUCUGUCACGGGGGGAGGGUUCCAUGAGCAGCAGCGAGGGUCCCCCCAUAGGAGGUUGCCCCCACCCCGCCAAGGCCAGACCAGCAGGGAGGCUCUCCUUGGAGGCAAGGCCCCCACCUCCUGCUCUUCCUGGGUGACAUUUCCUCCAGAGAGUAGCCGGAAAGGUCACCUCCCCUCCACUCGGGCCUGCUUCAUUGCCGUGAUUACACUUUACGAUCCUUUUAUGAA